GCUAAACCUUUUCUUUUCUUUCCCUCAUUAGUUGCAGUGCACAGUUAUGCCCACUAGGGGUGUACUUAGAAAAGAUUGCUGUGUCACACUAGGAACCAAGUUUGGAGAGGACAGUUCCUGAGGGGGAGGGUUUGUGGUGUGGACACUAUUUGCUGGAAAUAAAGGAAGCGGUGUA
Molecule: long non-coding RNA, 175 nt
Organism: Bufo bufo (common toad)
Lineage: Eukaryota; Metazoa; Chordata; Amphibia; Anura; Bufonidae
Exons: 5
Source: RefSeq, a predicted model, not a curated record